Molecule: ribosomal RNA, 425 nt
Filed under: uncultured bacterium
Lineage: Bacteria
Description: partial 16S ribosomal RNA
Rfam family: Bacterial small subunit ribosomal RNA
Source: RNAcentral
GUGGGGAAUCUUAGACAAUGGGGGAAACCCUGAUCUAGCCAUGCCGCGUGAGCGAUGAAGGCCUUAGGGUUGUAAAGCUCUUUCAGCUGGGAAGAUAAUGACGGUACCAGCAGAAGAAGCCCCGGCUAACUCCGUGCCAGCAGCCGCGGUAAUACGGAGGGGGCUAGCGUUGUUCGGAAUUACUGGGCGUAAAGCGCGCGUAGGCGGACCAGAAAGUUGGAGGUGAAAUCCCAGGGCUCAACCUUGGAACUGCCUUCAAAACUACUGGUGUGGAGUUCGAGAGAGGUGAGUGGAAUUCCGAGUGUAGAGGUGAAAUUCGUAGAUAUUCGGAGGAACACCAGUGGCGAAGGCGGCUCACUGGCUCGAUACUGACGCUGAGGUGCGAAAGCGUGGGGAGCAAACAGGAUUAGAAACCCGAGUAGUCC